GAUGAACGCUGGCGGCGUGCCUAAUACAUGCAAGUCGAGCGAAAAGAUGAGGCGCUUGCUCCUCUGACGUUAGCGGCAGACGGGAGAGUAACACGUGGAUAACCUCCCUAUAAGACUGGGAUAACUUCGGGAAACCGGCGCUAAUACCGGAUGAUAUAUUGAACCGCAUGGUUCAAUGGUGAAAGACGGUUUUGCUGUCACUUAUAGCUGGAUACGCGCCGCAUUAGCUAGUUGGUAAGGUCACGGCUUAUCAAGGCAACGAUGCGUAGCCGAGCUGAGAGGGUGAUCGCCCGCCCGAGAACGUGGACAGGGUCCAGACUCCUACGGGAGGCCGCAGUAGGCUAUCUGCCGCAACGGUCGAAAGCCUGACGGAGCAACGGCGCGUCAGAGAUGAAGGUCUUCGGAGCGUAAUACUCUGUUAUGAGUGAAGAACCACUGUGGACGUAACUAAGCACUGCGUGACGGUAAUUAAUCAGAAAGCCCCGGCUAACUACGUG
This 497-nucleotide ribosomal RNA is filed under the name uncultured bacterium. RNAcentral describes it as "partial 16S ribosomal RNA". It matches the Rfam family "Bacterial small subunit ribosomal RNA", at positions 28 to 507 of the family's 1533-position model. The record is from RNAcentral.